This 17-nucleotide ribosomal RNA is filed under the name Alternaria tenuissima. Its description in RNAcentral is "partial 18S ribosomal RNA". Lineage: Eukaryota; Fungi; Ascomycota; Dothideomycetes; Pleosporales; Pleosporaceae. The record is from RNAcentral.
GGGACAACCACAAAUAU